GUCCUAUGGAGGAGGAAGCAGAGACUCUGUUCUCCUCAUUUGGAUUAAUUCUGAUAUAAUAACUGUUGGUUUAUUUAUCGGUGGAGCAGCAGAACCUUUUCCACAGACAGUUUUCCUGCCCGUUGGCUUGUGUUGACCAGUUUUCUGCCUUCAGCUGAUUCUACCAGCAGACACUGAAAGGUCUUGUUCGGUGUCUCAUAUUCACUGUGAGGAUCUUCUGAUUGAAGCCAACAGAAGAAAAACCUCAUCUGGUUGUGAAGAAGGAGACUGAAUGGAUGACAUCCUCAGUGAACCAUUUCCUGUUUAACUUUCACUUACAGAAGGACAGAAACAAGACAAGUUGUAUUAUGAAGAGAGGAGCUGAAUCUGCAGCAUUAUUAUUAUUACUGGAAGGAUGAGGAGGACAUCAGUGCUGCUCUUCCUCACAGUGAUGAAGGAGAGAAGAUUCUUCAGACAACCACAGCUGGAUGUUCAUGUUCUCUGUAGCUCUCAGUCCAUCAGACCAGAUGUUCCCAAUGAUCCAGACCAAGGCUAGAAGGAAAAUACACUAACAAAGCCGGAAGGGGGAGCUCUCCACCGCUAUGCUUCAUUCGGACUGGAGCUGCCGAGGAAGCAUUGCAUAUCGUGAGCGUGCGCUUUUUGAUCCUCUUCUUCAGAGUGAAAGUAGCAGUUCCUCCUUAAGGUCACAGAUUGCAGCAUCUGAGGGCCUCUUCAAAAGAAGACGUAGUUGAUGAAGGCGUUCUGGAGCAGGACCAGAAAGACCACGACCAAGCAGCCUCGAGAUCUUAGGCAGCGUCUCCCUCGGGUGGGUGUCAACGAUGUUCACGGUCAGGUCUGUGGUAAUCCUGUCAAAAAAUAAAACAGAAAAAAAUCUAGAUUAUAAAUCAACAUGUAACCAAAGCACUCUGUGUAUAACGCCAUAGUAUAGGAUGUAGUUCAGAAAAUGUCAAAGUAUAGUAUACUUUUCAAGAAUAACAUAGUAUGGCCUGUAGGUCAUAGUAUAGCCUGUUGGGGGGGAAAAACCCAUAGAUUAUUAUGUGGUUCAAAAAGCGCAAAAUGAUAGGAUGUGGCGUAAAAUUGUCAUGUAUGAUAUGUGGUUCAGAAAAUGUCAUAGUGCAGUAUAUUGUCAAAAUAGUAUGUUAUUUAAGAAAACAGAG
This is a long non-coding RNA of Amphiprion ocellaris (clown anemonefish), 1157 nucleotides long. The record is from Ensembl. NCBI's taxonomy places the organism in Eukaryota, Metazoa, Chordata, Actinopteri, Pomacentridae.